GCAGAAAUCCUUCACAGAAGUAAUGACCUGAACUUGCAGAAGAGGGAGCUAAAGCUCAGAGAAGUUAAACAAACUCAAGAGAAUGUUACCAGUGGUGGAAGCAGGAUCCCAGCCCAGAUCUGUGCAGCCUGUAGCCGUGGAAAUUCAGAUCUUGUUGAAUGAAUGUCUGCUGGUUCCAGUUCCUCGUGCCUGAUGUCCAAACCCAUGAGUCUACCUACCUACCACCCCACCAGCCUGCCACCUGUUGGGCACCUAGUGAUGCCUCGCCUCUGCAUUCAAGGAACCAGAGUUGGUGUUUUGCUGAUGAAGAUGCUUUACUCUGCCGACUCUCCCCUUCUCCAAACCAUGGCAGGAAGAUGUGCAUUUUUGUCUUGAAGAUAUUCUAAGCCAAGAAGGCAAGGCUCCUAUAUUUCUUCAGAUGCUUUUAUUUUUUAUUUUUAAUUUAUUUUUAAUUUUUUUUAACGUUUAUUUAUUUUUGAGACAGAGAGAGACAGAGCAUGAACGGGGGAGGGUCAGAGAGAGGGAGACACAGAAUCCGAAACAGGCUCCGGGCUCUGAGCUGUCAGCACAGAGCCCGACGUGGGGCUUGAACUCACAGACCGCAAGAUCAUGACCUGAGCUGAAGUCGGCUGCUUAAUCGACUGAGCCACCCAGGCGCCCCCAGAUGCUUUUAUUAAAUGAAACAUUUUCUGUUGUAUUUGAAGCCACUUGUUCUGCUUCAGUGUUCUCUAAACGCUGAGGAAUAUUGAUUAGGAUUUCUCUGAGAAAUGUAUUUGUCCAUUUGUCAAUGGAUUCUUGUGUGUGUUUUGUGGAUAAAGACUGGAGUAGCAACAAUAAUCAUCUUGUCAACACUCUGUCAUAGGGUAAAUCAUGUUUCCCAACAGCAGUGCACACAAGAGGUCAGGGCGUGACUGACUCUGGCCUCUAUGCCUAUUCUUCAGACUCAUUUAGCCAACCCAACUGUACCUUGCAUUCAUAUUUCUGAGAUUUUUACUGUGAAGGACAUGUCCCCUGCACAUGCCCUUCACAAAUGUUAUAGUGUACUUUCUAAUACUGUAAUUAUCAUUUUCCACAUUCGUGGAAACAUUGAUGUAUAUCUUUAAAGCAGUAGCACACCUAAUUCUUGGAUGUUUCUUUUGAAAAUGUAAGUUGGUUUUAUUAAUGAUCUGCAAAUGUGUUUGGAGAUUCUGCUAUAUACAAGGCUUCAUGUUUUUGAAAUAACAAAAUAUUGAAAAAUGUUUGGAAAUAGUGAAAAAGUUGCAAUGUAAAAAUCCACUGUUUAAGGUCAAUGCUUGGAUGAUCUUGGGAAAGACAUGGUUAAAAAAUAAUGCCCAGGGCUACUUCUGUGGAGCUCUUUACCAGAGAUGGGAGGUUACGUACUGGUGUAACUCGAAGCUCCCCAGGGCACUGAGAAAGCAGAGGGUGUAUUUUCAGCUCUGUCUCCAAGCAGAAAAUUACUUUUCAUACCAGUAUUGGAUUAAGUAGCUUAUGGUGCCAUCCCUUUGGGACACUAAACCAUUAGUGAGAAAUAACACAUCACUGGAAAGCAGGCAAAAUGUUUGUUUAGUGUGAUUAUCAGAAGCUUUUUAGGAUAGUUCUCAUGUGUUUGGAAGGAAUACUUUGAUAGGCCAGUGCCGAGGAAUCUCAAUGAGGGACAUGCUCCAGUACCAGCAGGUCACUAAUCUGCCUCUGGAGAGGCAGGUUUGGUCUCCCGGUGGGGGCAGGGAGGGGAUGGGGUUCAACCUGUGCCCAUUCUUCCCCAAGCAGCACUUAGCCUCCUCCCCUAGGAGAGCACUGGACAAAGACAAUACUCAUUUCAAGGAACUCCAGAUUCUCAGUGUGCCCCAUGUUAGACAUGUGCUGAGCACAGUGUCUGUUUCAUUGUCAGUGGUGUCUGGGUGAGGUGCUCCCCAGUGUCCAGAGAGGAAAGAACUGAGGAAGCUGUGUCCUCUGCAGGGUUCCGUCUCUACGAGGCUACACUGAGCCUGAGUGUGACACCUUUCAUUUAUGUCUCUGGAAAAGUCCUGUGUUUGAAGUAAAUUUUCCUACCAAAGAGGUGCUGUAAUAUUAAGGUAUUUAUUUGGCCAAUGGCAUCAUACCAAAUGAUUUUAGUAGACUUGCAAAUAAAUUACAUUCAUUUGCUCAAGGGUGUAAAGCCAUACCUCAAAUAGUCUUCAUAAACAAGGUUGUGUUAUUAAGGAAACAUGCCAGAACACUGUUUAAGAAAGUUUUUUUUUUUCCAGAAUUAUGCAAGCCAGAGUCAGGGGCAUUCCAAAACCUUUAUUUUCCCAUUUUUCAUCACUGUAUUAUUAAAAAAAAAAAA
Long non-coding RNA from Acinonyx jubatus (cheetah), 2323 nucleotides. RefSeq lists it as uncharacterized. NCBI's taxonomy places the organism in Eukaryota, Metazoa, Chordata, Mammalia, Carnivora, Felidae. The record is from RefSeq and is a predicted model, not a curated record. The transcript is spliced from 3 exons.